Molecule: ribosomal RNA, 245 nt
Filed under: uncultured bacterium
Lineage: Bacteria
Description: partial small subunit ribosomal RNA
Rfam family: Bacterial small subunit ribosomal RNA
Source: RNAcentral
AGAAUCAACGCUGGCGGCGUGCCUAACACAUGCAAGUCGAGCGAGAAAGUGGAGCAAUCCAUGAGUAAAGCGGCGCACGGGUGAGUAACACGUGACUAACCUGCCCUUGAGUGGGGAAUAACCUGGGGAAACCCGGGCUAAUACCGCAUAACACCUACGGGUCAAAGCAGCAAUGCGCUUGAAGAGGAGUUCGCGGCAGAUUAGUUAGUUGGCGGGGUAAUGGCCCACCAAGACGAUGAUCUGUA